This 302-nucleotide long non-coding RNA is filed under the name Homo sapiens (human). Its description in RNAcentral is "HSALNT0173436". The record is from RNAcentral. Lineage: Eukaryota; Metazoa; Chordata; Mammalia; Primates; Hominidae.
CUUAGUGGCUCUGUCUUUUCCCAUUGUUCCCCUAAGUUGCAUGUUGUUUUAUGAAGAGUGGUAGGAAGUGUACCUUGACCUUGUGAUUCUCAUAACAUUUUAUUUUACUCUUCUUCCACUGCCUUCUCCUCAUGUAACAAACUACUGAGCUGAGGUGUAAGUAGCAUACGUAAAAUGUUAUUUUACAAUAAACCAAGUUGCAAGGCCUUAUGGUGACUCAUCUUAUAAUGUUCUGUAAACUCUCUUUUUUCCUUUGUGGUCAGUUGCUAGUAGUUGUCCCCUUUGGGUGAAACAAAUACCAG